UACGUAGGGUGCGAGCGUUGUCCGGAAUUACUGGGCGUAAAGAGCUCGUAGGUGGUUUGUCGCGUUGUUCGUGAAAUCUCACAGCUUAACUGUGAGCGUGCGGGCGAUACGGGCAGACUGGAGUACUGCAGGGGAGACUGGAAUUCCUGGUGUAGCGGUAGAAAUGCGCAGAUAUCAGGAGGAACACCGGUGGCGAAGGCGGGUCUCUGGGCCACUAUUGACGCUGAGGAGCGAAAGCGUGGGGAGCGAACAGG
This 254-nucleotide ribosomal RNA is filed under the name uncultured bacterium. RNAcentral's name for it is "partial 16S ribosomal RNA". It matches the Rfam family "Bacterial small subunit ribosomal RNA", at positions 524 to 776 of the family's 1533-position model. The record is from RNAcentral.